RNAcentral lists this ribosomal RNA (460 nucleotides) under uncultured bacterium. RNAcentral describes it as "partial 16S ribosomal RNA". It matches the Rfam family "Bacterial small subunit ribosomal RNA", at positions 338 to 795 of the family's 1533-position model. The record is from RNAcentral.
CCUACGAGUGGCAGCAGUGAGGAAUAUUGGUCAAUGGACGAGAGUCUGAACCAGCCAAGUAGCGUGAAGGAUGACUGCCCUAUGGGUUGUAAACUUCUUUUAUCUGGGAAUAAAAUGUUCCACGUGUGGGAUUUUGUCUGUACCAUAUGAAUAAGGAUCGGCUAACUCCGUGCCAGCAGACGCGGGAAUACGGAGGAUGCGAGCGUUAUCCGGAUUUAUGGGGUUUAAAGGACGCGUAGGUUGAGUGGUAAGUCAGUUGUGAAAGGUUGCGGCUCAACCGUAAAAUUGCAGUUGAAACUGGCAGUCUAGAGGACAGUAGAGGUGGGCGGAAUUCGUGGUGUAGCGGUGAAAUGCUUAGAUAGCACGAAGAACUCCGAGUGCGAAGGCAGCUCACUGGACUGCAACUGACACUGAGGCUCGAAAGUGUGGGUAUCAAACAGGAUUAGAUACCCCUGUAGUC